CGAGAAGCCAACUAUUAAAUUAAUACACCAGUUUUUAUUUAAAACAACUUUACUUUAAUCAGAAAACUACUUAUUAAGUACUCUUAAUUACUAUCUAUGUAUAUACCUUACUAAGUACCAGUUCUUUUGAAAGUUGUUCCUUAAAAGGUUGUAUUAGGAAUCGUAUAAACAUGUAUCUACUGAGUUUAAUGUAAAUAGUGAUAAAUACCUCUACUUGACAAUAUUCAGUUGUAGGUACCCUUAAAAUCGCAAUGCCUCAGAUAUAAAAGUAGACUCAUUUAAAAAAAUCUAAUAAUUUUAAUAAUACAAACAUUUCAGAAUUUUUAUCAUUUAAAAACGACUAUAAGAACCUAAGAACG
Molecule: long non-coding RNA, 359 nt
Organism: Plutella xylostella (diamondback moth)
Lineage: Eukaryota; Metazoa; Arthropoda; Insecta; Lepidoptera; Plutellidae
Source: RefSeq, a predicted model, not a curated record